GGUGGCUCAGUGGUAGAGUACUUGCCUUGCAUGCCUGAGGCCCUGGGUUCGAUUCCCCAGCACCA
Molecule: non-coding RNA, 65 nt
Organism: Dipodomys ordii (Ord's kangaroo rat)
Lineage: Eukaryota; Metazoa; Chordata; Mammalia; Rodentia; Heteromyidae
Source: Rfam